CUUUACUGUAGCUUUACAUUGGACUUUGAACAGAUCUGUGUAGGAUAGGUGGGAGGCUUUGAAGCCGGGACGCUAGUUCUGGUGGAGCCGACGUUGAAAUACCACCCUGGUGUGUUUGAGGUUCUAACCUAGACCCGUGAUCCGGGUUGGGGACAGUGUAUGGUGGGCAGUUUGACUGGGGCGGUCUCCUCCCAAAGCGUAACGGAGGAGUUCGAAGGUACGCUAGGCACGGUCGGAAAUCGUGCUGAUAGUGCAUAGGCAUAAGCGUGCUUGACUGCGAGACUGACAAGUCGAGCAGGUACGAAAGUAGGACUAAGUGAUCCGGUGGUUCUGUAUGGAAGGGCCAUCGCUCAACGGAUAAAAGGUA
RNAcentral lists this ribosomal RNA (367 nucleotides) under uncultured organism. RNAcentral's name for it is "bacterial LSU rRNA". It matches the Rfam family "Bacterial large subunit ribosomal RNA", at positions 2099 to 2465 of the family's 2925-position model. The record is from RNAcentral.